Long non-coding RNA from Salvia splendens (bonfire salvia), 257 nucleotides. RefSeq lists it as uncharacterized. The transcript has 3 exons. The record is from RefSeq and is a predicted model, not a curated record. Lineage: Eukaryota; Viridiplantae; Streptophyta; Magnoliopsida; Lamiales; Lamiaceae.
AAAACUUUAUUUUUGGAAACAUCCCCUCCUUCCUUGGCACACUUCCAGAUCUUCAAGAACUGAACUUGGCAAGUAAUUAUUUCGAAGGAGCAGUACCAGACUCAGUAGCAUGCAACAAGAACUUAAACUUAACUCUUGUUGGUAAUAACUUCUUGACAUCCAUGGCUUGUUCGAAGUCCAACAAAUCUCCUUCUUCGUCAGCAAACGUAGGAGGCGGAUUCCAAGUUCCGUCAGGCUCAAGAAAAACAAAAAAGAAG